AUUAAAAAGAAAAAAAAAAACAUUUUUUUGCCUUUUGUCUAUAAUUAACAACAAAUUAACAAUACCUAAAUAAAUUAAACAAUUAAAUAACAACUAAUUAACAAUACCCAUAUAAAUUUAACAGCUAAAUAACAAUUAAUCAACAAUAUCCAUAUAAAUUAAACCAAAAUAUAUUAACCAAUUAACAAGAAUAAAAACUAAAUUAAAUAAAUUAACAAUGCCUAUUUAAAUUAAACCACUAAAAAACAACAAAUUCACAAUAACCAUUCAAGAAGAGAGAAGAUGGAGGAGAAAAAAUAAGGAAAAAAGUAAAAAAGUUAAAAAAAAAAAAAAUUACAUUCAAAAAUGCCAUAAUCCAUUCA
This 362-nucleotide unclassified non-coding RNA is filed under the name Hevea brasiliensis (rubber tree). Lineage: Eukaryota; Viridiplantae; Streptophyta; Magnoliopsida; Malpighiales; Euphorbiaceae. The record is from RNAcentral.